GAAGGGCUGGAUGCUGGGGAUUGUAGUCACUGCUAGUAGGACGGUUAGUGGGGGAAGAGCUGCAUGCUGGGGAUUGUAGUCACUGCUAGUAGGACGGUUAGUGGUGGAAGGGCUGGAUGCUGGGGAUUGUAGUCACUGCUAGUAGGACGGUUAGUGGGGGAAGAGCUGCAUGCUGGGGAUUGUAGUCACUGCUAGUAGGACGGUUAGUGGAGGGAAGGGCUCCACUAGUCACUGCUAGUAGGACGGUUAGUGGGGGAAGGGCUGGAUGCUGGGGAUUGUAGUCACUGCUAGUAGCACGGUUAGUGGAGGGAAGUGCUGCAUGCUGGGGAUUGUAGUCACUGCUAGUAGCACGGUUAGUGGAGGGAAGGGCUGCAUGCUGGGGAUUGUAGUCACUGCUAGUAGCACGGUUAGUGGAGGAAGGGCUGGAUGCUGGGGAUUGUAGUCACUGCUAGUAGCACGGUUAGUGGAGGGAAGGGCUGCAUGCUGGGGAUUGUAGUCACUGCUAGUAGCACGGUUAGUGGAGGGAAGG
Molecule: long non-coding RNA, 529 nt
Filed under: Pelobates cultripes (western spadefoot toad)
Lineage: Eukaryota; Metazoa; Chordata; Amphibia; Anura; Pelobatidae
Source: RNAcentral